Hordeum vulgare subsp. vulgare (domesticated barley) is the source of this 246-nucleotide long non-coding RNA. RefSeq lists it as uncharacterized. The transcript is spliced from 2 exons. Lineage: Eukaryota; Viridiplantae; Streptophyta; Magnoliopsida; Poales; Poaceae. The record is from RefSeq and is a predicted model, not a curated record.
GAGAGAGAGAGAGAGAGAGAGAGAGAGAGAGAGAGAGAGAGAGAGAGAGAGAGAGAGAGAGAGAGAGAGAAGGAGUGGGGAAAAAGGGAAAGGAACAGAGAUGAGGUGGUAGGCAGGUGAGGGAUGAAGAUGAAGAAGAGGAAUAGAGGAGCGCUAGUACAGGAAGCCUGGCACAAGAAAAAUACUAGCCCUGCAAGGGAGAGGGGAGGGGAGGAGGAAGAAAGAAGACGGAGAGGAAAAAAGAAA